CUCACCCCAGCUCCUUUCUCCAGCAGCCUCUGAACUGCAGUGGGUAAUUUUUUCUGGGUUUCAGUUAAUAAAGGAUUUGCAGGCAUAGAGUCAGUAAAUUCCAUGAGAAAACAGUCCAAGACUCUUUUCUACAUCCAGAAGUGGGCAUCAAGCAAUGAUAUUUGGAUGAAUAACAAUGAGUGGAUGAGUACACUGGAGAAUGGGAAAGCCAACCUUGAGAAAUGCCUCUUGGGACCUUCGCAUUUGGCUAUUUACAGAGCACAUGUGAUGACAAACAGGUUCAUCUAGAAAACUUGAAGUUGCC
Long non-coding RNA from Equus quagga, 304 nucleotides. RefSeq lists it as uncharacterized. The transcript is spliced from 3 exons. Lineage: Eukaryota; Metazoa; Chordata; Mammalia; Perissodactyla; Equidae. The record is from RefSeq and is a predicted model, not a curated record.